GACGAACGCUGGCGGCGUGCUUAACACAUGCCAGUCGAACGGAAAGGCCCUGCUUUUGUGGGGUGCUCGAGUGGCGAACGGGUGAGUAACACGUGAGUAACCUGCCCUUGACUUUGGGAUAACUCCAGGAAACUGGGGCUAAUACCGGAUAGGAGCUCCUGCUGCAUGGUGGUGGUUGGAAAGUUUCGGCGGUUGGGGAUGGACUCGCGGCUUAUCAGCUUGUUGGUGGGGUAGUGGCUUACCAAGGCUUUGACGGGUAGCCGGCCUGAGAGGGUGACCGGCCACAUUGGGACUGAGAGACGGCCCAGACUCCUACGGGAGGCAGCAGUGGGGAAUAUUGCACAAUGGGCGGAAGCCUGAUGCAGCAACGCCGCGUGCGGGAUGACGGCCUUCGGGUUGUAAACCGCUUUCGCCUGUGACGAAGCGUGAGUGACGGUAAUGGGUAAAGAAGCACCGGCUAACUACGUG
This 468-nucleotide ribosomal RNA is filed under the name uncultured bacterium. Its description in RNAcentral is "partial 16S ribosomal RNA". It matches the Rfam family "Bacterial small subunit ribosomal RNA", at positions 28 to 507 of the family's 1533-position model. The record is from RNAcentral.